AAGUUUGUGGAAGCUAAUUAAAUACUUUUAUAAAAGCCAGUGUAUUCACCCAACAUUUGGAAAGAGAGGCACAUUAGGGGCAACUUGUUUUUACCCAAAUGUUUUCUUUCUGUGGAGGUAGCACUCCUUUGUGGUGCCGGGGAGAGCGGGAUGGCUUAUGCUGUUACAAAAAGCGCUAGGGAUGGCAAGGCAGGUUCACGGGAAGCCUUUGGAAGCCUUUCAGCCUGAUGGAGCUUUCAAACCAGCAGAUCUCUGAUGCUGCCGAGAUCCACAAUUACCCAGUUUGGAAGGGGAGUUGGGGUGCAGUGCCGGUGACUGAACGAGACCCGCAGGAAAGUCGGGAUAGAAAUUCGGGUUUUGAGCCCCUGCGGGUGUAUUGAUACUAUUUCAAUGUCGGGAAAAACACAAAACCCGGUUCCACGCGGUGCUUUAGUGGCUAAAAGUGAAAGAGCUGCCUUGGCAGAAUUGAGCUCUAUGAAUCACUUCGGAAAAUUGGUUCGACUGAAUGGCCUUAGGAGGAAAAACGUUUUAAUAGGAUCCAGGGGAGGUUCUGCUGUUUCAAUCUGCUCCUUAAACAGGUGGAGAUUGGACCUUCUCAAUUAUACAAACACUGAAUGUAAAAGACAGUGA
This 630-nucleotide long non-coding RNA is filed under the name Canis lupus familiaris (dog). Its description in RNAcentral is "lncRNA (ENSCAFG00845014971.1)". Lineage: Eukaryota; Metazoa; Chordata; Mammalia; Carnivora; Canidae. The record is from RNAcentral.